AGAAACUAACAAGGAUUCCCCUAGUAACUGCGAGUGAAGCGGGAAAAGCUCAAAUUUAAAAUCCCUCGGGAAUUGUAAUCUAGAGAAGUGUUUUCGGUCGUUGCCUCGGACAAGUCCUUUGGAACAAGGCGUCAUAGAGGGUGAGAAUCCCGUCCUUGCCGAGCUACCAACGUCUAUGUGAUACACUCUCGAAGAGUCGAGUUGUUUGGGAAUGCAGCUCAAAACGGGUGGUAAACUCCAUCUAAAGCUAAAUAUUGGCGAGAGACCGAUAGCGAACAAGUACCGUGAGGGAAAGAUGAAAAGCACUUUGGACAGAGAGUUAAACAGUACGUGAAAUUGUUGAAAGGGAAACGCUUGAAGUCAGUCGCGUUGCAGGGACUCAGCCGCAAGGUGCAUUUCUCGGUAACGGGUCAACAUCAGUUUCGAGCGCGGGAAAAGGGCUUGGGGAAUGUGGCAGCCUCGGCUGUGUUAUAGCCCCCUGUCGUACACCGCGCCCGGGACUGAGGACCGCUAAUAGGAUGUUGACGUAAUGGCUUUAAGCGA
RNAcentral lists this ribosomal RNA (543 nucleotides) under Dacrymyces lacrymalis. RNAcentral describes it as "eukaryotic LSU rRNA". It matches the Rfam family "Eukaryotic large subunit ribosomal RNA", at positions 60 to 647 of the family's 3401-position model. Lineage: Eukaryota; Fungi; Basidiomycota; Dacrymycetes; Dacrymycetales; Dacrymycetaceae. The record is from RNAcentral.